RNAcentral lists this long non-coding RNA (647 nucleotides) under Chinchilla lanigera (long-tailed chinchilla). RNAcentral describes it as "lncRNA (ENSCLAG00000025661.1)". The record is from RNAcentral. Lineage: Eukaryota; Metazoa; Chordata; Mammalia; Rodentia; Chinchillidae.
AUAAGAACGGACUUUGCAUUAUGGACAUUUGUACAUGUGAACAAAUCACAGAAGUAGCUCACGUGUCUGCCAGACACUGUCACAGUCGUGCUGCUGUGUGCUUACUGCACAGUGUGAGAUUGUAGAGUAUACUGUACAGUGCUCCGUGAGAGCCCAGGGUAUCCAGAAGCAGCAAGAGGAAAAGCAGUGGUGAUGUGGAGGGGACUGCUAGAAAGGACAAAGCAAUAACAAUGGAAACAAAAGUGAAAAUAAUUGACUGCUCAGACCAAGACAAAAAGAUCACGGACGUCACUCCGCUGUCUCCCACUUACCCUCGACUCCAGUUAGUUCUCUCAGUUCACCAGAGGCAAUCCCUCUAUGUGCCAGUUGUUAUAUUACACUGUGCCACCAUUGUAAGGUAACUGUUGUCACCUCUCGCAGUUCCAGCUGCCUCACUGCUGGGGCCCUGCCAGAGACACUCAUCCCGGAAAAACCAACGUGGUCAUGGUGGCUCUCAACGUGCCACCUAGUGAAGCGGAUGCGAGCUGUAGCUUCCCAGCCUGUCCCCAGGGCUUUGUUUCAUCAUAGUCACUUAACUUGUGCUUGUCAUCACCAGUCUCUCUGUCACAAAACUGUCUCUGCCAAAGCCCAGGCACAGUCUUCACUCA